GGAAGCGUAUUGCCACCGGUGUGGUACUUGGUCUUCAAAACCAAUGGCGGGCAGCUUGUCCGUGGUAGGUUCGACUCCUAUACGCUUCCGCCA
RNAcentral lists this transfer RNA (93 nucleotides) under Lawsonia intracellularis. RNAcentral's name for it is "tRNA-Sec". It matches the Rfam family "Selenocysteine transfer RNA". The record is from RNAcentral. Lineage: Bacteria; Pseudomonadati; Thermodesulfobacteriota; Desulfovibrionia; Desulfovibrionales; Desulfovibrionaceae.